RNAcentral lists this long non-coding RNA (647 nucleotides) under Nicotiana tabacum (common tobacco). RNAcentral's name for it is "long non-coding RNA (NTAB_LNC002792)". Lineage: Eukaryota; Viridiplantae; Streptophyta; Magnoliopsida; Solanales; Solanaceae. The record is from RNAcentral.
UUGGUGUUCCAUGAUCUGUGAAAAGCCUCCCCAAUGCAUGCUUUUUUAAAUGUUUCAAAAUUCCUGAUAUGACAUGCUUAUGUUUUACAUAGGCAAGUCUUCGUGUUUGUAUCCAAGGCUGAAAGACCUGCAUUAAAAGUUAGAAGAAGUUCAGCACGAUUUAUCUAUUUAUCAGCCAGGUGCCCAGGCAUAUAGGACGAUUAGGCUUUCUUUUUCCUUUUACUUCUCUAUUUUCUAAGAAGAGUGAUGAAACCAUUUUGUACUCUGAUCCCAGCUCAACCAUUUUGGCUAUGGUUGGAUGGAAGCUACUUGAGUCAUUGGCAUGCCAAUUGAACUAUUCAAUUCAGAACUGUUAAAGUUGAUUAGAUUUUGCAAAAUGUGCUCAUUCUUGGGCAUAUUCUACGCAGAUAAUGAUGUAGAUUGUAGCAGUGUGCAAGAAAGAAUAAUUCAAAUUGGAUGGAGAGAAAAAAAUGACAAUAUGACAAUUACCUGAUAAAGGCAAUAAGAAACGAGAAGCGACAGUGAUAUGAUAAGUGCUAUUAAGACCGCUAAAUGUCUUCCUGAAGUUGAAUGGAAGAGCUGUGGCAACUGCACAACAAUAAAUGGAAUAACAGAUACGGCCAUGAUCAUUGCAGCAUAGCUUGUCC